This 254-nucleotide ribosomal RNA is filed under the name uncultured bacterium. RNAcentral describes it as "partial 16S ribosomal RNA". It matches the Rfam family "Bacterial small subunit ribosomal RNA", at positions 524 to 776 of the family's 1533-position model. The record is from RNAcentral.
UACGUAGGGUGCGAGCGUUGUCCGGAAUUACUGGGCGUAAAGAGCUCGUAGGCGGUGUGUCACGUCGGCCGUGAAAACCUGCAGCUUAACUGUGGGCGUGCGGUCGAUACGGGCAUCACUGGAGUUCGGCAGGGGAGACUGGAAUUCCUGGUGUAGCGGUGAAAUGCGCAGAUAUCAGGAGGAACACCGGUGGCGAAGGCGGCUAUCUGGGCUGAAACUGACGCUGAGGCGCGAAGGCUAGGGGAGCAAACAGG